AGACCCUAUUCAAAGCACACACUUUAUACACAGAAACCCGUGAGGCGUGUAUCAUUUCCUCCAUUUCACAGAGGAGGAGACUGAGCCCCUGAGAGUCUGGAUGAAUUGCCUAACAUCACACAGCUAUUAAGGGCAGCCCAGUACUCUCUAAGGGAUGAAAACUGUGAAUUGAUAUACACACCCAGAGCCUCCACCAGCAGCCAUAAAGUUUGCAGCCAAGACAAAAUUCACAGAUCGCCAGAUGUGGAAACCACCUUCAUUUUACUUAGUGGAUAUGAGGUGAAUAACGUGCCAAGAUUGGAAGAGGGAGAGGAGGAGAGAGAGUUUGGGCUACUAAUCAGGACGGAUCAGCUGAGGCCCUGUGCAAAAUUAAAAUGCGAGACCCCUUAAAAAGUCAAGAAUUUCAUGACGGCAAAAAUACAGCAUUCAGUCAAACACAGAGCCCUCUGAGCACAAUCUCAGUGCAACUGCAGGGUCACACACCCAUGCAGCGUCCUGGCUCUGGAUCUAAUGCCCUUUCCUCUGUUACCUGCUGACUUCUCCUUUCUCCUUGUUCCCCUUCCCAGCCUCCAUAAAUUCUAAGUAACAAAGAAAUAAAUGCUAUAUUUAAGUUUG
Pongo pygmaeus (Bornean orangutan) is the source of this 615-nucleotide long non-coding RNA. RefSeq lists it as uncharacterized. The record is from RefSeq and is a predicted model, not a curated record. The transcript is spliced from 2 exons. NCBI's taxonomy places the organism in Eukaryota, Metazoa, Chordata, Mammalia, Primates, Hominidae.